UGAUGGUGUAACGGUAGCAUGACAGUCUCCAAAACUGUUGGUAUAGGUUCAAAUCCUAUUCG
RNAcentral lists this transfer RNA (62 nucleotides) under uncultured Megasphaera sp. It matches the Rfam family "tRNA", at positions 6 to 65 of the family's 71-position model. From Rfam's summary of the family: Transfer RNA (tRNA) molecules are approximately 80 nucleotides in length. The record is from RNAcentral. Lineage: Bacteria; Bacillati; Bacillota; Negativicutes; Veillonellales; Veillonellaceae.